This 269-nucleotide long non-coding RNA is filed under the name Setaria viridis. Its description in RNAcentral is "long non-coding RNA (SVIR_LNC010438)". Lineage: Eukaryota; Viridiplantae; Streptophyta; Magnoliopsida; Poales; Poaceae. The record is from RNAcentral.
AGCAAAGAAUCACAGAAAUAAAUAUGCUUUCGGAGAGCCACGACACUUGACCUUUGUUUUUACGUCUACCAACAUUUGGCAGCUCGUGCUGUUGUGUCCAGUGCAGGCGCACGGAUAGGGCUGCAUGCAGUCGGCGCCGCGCAUGCAUGCGCAUGGCCGGCGACGAGUACAUGCCGUGUAAAGCAGAGGUGGCAUGAUGCAUAUACGACGCUGUGCUGACAUUGCGGUGCCGUGUAAACAAGCAUGCGUGCAUGCCGCCAUGCCGACGU